AAAGGCUUGGUCCUAGCCUUUCUGUUAAUAAUAAUUAAACCUACACAUGCAAGUUUCCGCUGCCCAGUGAGAAUGCCCUUACAGUUCUACCCAAGCAACUACUAGGAGCAGGUAUCAGGCUCGCCACCGGUUGCCCACAACACCUUGCUCAACCACACCCCUACGGGAUACAGCAGUGACUAAAAUUAAGAAAUAAACGAGAGUUUGACUAAGUUAUAGUUAAUUAAGGUUGGUAAAUUUCGUGCCAGCCACCGCGGUCAUACGAUUAACCUAAACUAACAGAGUAGCGGCGUAAAGCGUGUUUAAGUUGAACAUUAAUAAAGUUAAGAUAUGACUAAGCUGUAAUACGCUCCAGUUGAUGUAAAAAUGACCUACCAAAGUGACUUUAAUAGAACUGAUAACACGAUAGCUAAGAAACAAACUGGGAUUAGAUACCCCACUAUGCUUAGCCUUAAACCCAAAUAUUUUAUCAACAAAACUAUUCGCCAGAGAACUACUAGCAAUCGCUUAAAACUCAAAGGACUUGGCGGUGCCCUAAUCCCAUCUAGAGGAGCCUGUUCUAUAAUCGAUAAACCCCGAUAUACCUUACCUCUUUUUGCCAAUACAGCUUAUAUACCGCCAUCGUCAGCUCACCCCAAUAGGGUAUUAAAGUAAGCAAGAUUAUUCAUCAUAAAAACGUUAGGUCAAGGUGUAGCAUAUGAAGAGGAAAGCAAUGGGCUACAUUUUCUAUAAUAGAAAAUUAACGAAAUAUCUUAUGAAACUAAGAUAUACUGAAGGAGGAUUUAGCAGUAAAUUAAGAAUAGAGAGCUUAAUUGAAACAGGCAAUAGGGCGCGCACACACCGCCCGUCACCCUCCUCAAUAAAUGCACAAACCAUCCAUAAUAAGAUAAAGAAUUAAAGAGGAGAAAAGUCGUAACAUGGUAAGUGUACUGGAAAGUGCACUUGGAUUA
RNAcentral lists this non-coding RNA (950 nucleotides) under Tarsipes rostratus (honey possum). Its description in RNAcentral is "12S ribosomal RNA". It matches the Rfam family "Bacterial small subunit ribosomal RNA", at positions 154 to 1525 of the family's 1533-position model. Lineage: Eukaryota; Metazoa; Chordata; Mammalia; Diprotodontia; Tarsipedidae. The record is from RNAcentral.